AGGUGUAUUGAUGAUUAUGCCUUAUUGGCAAGUGACGUGGACUUAUUCUUAUCGCUUUCCUUUUUAUUUCUCGCUAUCACAUUUAAAUUGUACACACUAGUACGAGUAUGCGUAAAUUUUAAAGUGUAAAAAUAUCUACUUCGGAUAGAUUUCGAUUUCCUUUUAUUGUAGGAAAUCUGAAAAGCUAUCCUUGGAUUCCUUUUAAAUCCUACCCAUGCACUUCCCUUCAUCAUUCAGUCUCAGCUAUUUUUUUUCUGUAUGUUAUGUCCCCCCUCAAUCAGAAAAGCAUCUCUCUCUCUCUCCCUUCUCCCUCUCCCACGCCACAUUCUUCUUCUUCUUCCUCUCUGCAACAACCACAAAACACACCAAAACUCACAAACGUGACAAACCAACUACAUCAUCAUGCUCAUCUCAGUCCCAUGAUCACAACCAUGUCCUUGAAAUCUAGUGUGGACGAGUUUUGACUCACCAACUCGGAAGGUCCGACUCGGCGAGUUCGAUACUACGG
RNAcentral lists this long non-coding RNA (508 nucleotides) under Malus domestica (apple). RNAcentral's name for it is "long non-coding RNA (MDOM_LNC012676)". Lineage: Eukaryota; Viridiplantae; Streptophyta; Magnoliopsida; Rosales; Rosaceae. The record is from RNAcentral.